Molecule: non-coding RNA, 31 nt
Filed under: Rattus norvegicus (Norway rat)
Lineage: Eukaryota; Metazoa; Chordata; Mammalia; Rodentia; Muridae
Source: RNAcentral
UAAUUGCUUUUAAAUGCUUGAGAUGUUGAAC